CCUACGGGUGGCAGCAGUGGGGAAUAUUGGGCAAUGGGCGCAAGCCUGACCCAGCAACGCCGCGUGAAGGAAGAAGGCUUUCGGUUUGUAAACUUCUUUUCUGAGGGACGAAAGGAGUGACGGUACCUCACUAAUAAGCCACGGCUAACUACGUGCCAGCAGCCGCGGUAAUACGUAGGUGGCAAGCGUUAUCCGGAUUUAUUGGGUGUAAAGGGAGUGUAGGCGGGUAGGCAAGUCGGUGGUGAAAGGUCGGGGCCAAACCCGCGGCCUGCUUUGGAAACUGUAUAACUGGAGUGCAGGGGGGGUAAGUGGAAUUCGUGGGGUAGGGGUAAA
RNAcentral lists this ribosomal RNA (333 nucleotides) under uncultured bacterium. Its description in RNAcentral is "partial 16S ribosomal RNA". It matches the Rfam family "Bacterial small subunit ribosomal RNA", at positions 338 to 685 of the family's 1533-position model. The record is from RNAcentral.